Molecule: long non-coding RNA, 2817 nt
Organism: Polyodon spathula (Mississippi paddlefish)
Lineage: Eukaryota; Metazoa; Chordata; Actinopteri; Acipenseriformes; Polyodontidae
Exons: 3
Source: RefSeq, a predicted model, not a curated record
CUAUAUACUAUAGUAAGCAAUGUCUCUCCUUUUCAUUUGUGAUAGAAAGCUGAUUUGCUUUCACACUGACUUCUGUACUAGGCAGCAUAAUAAAUUAUAUUUCAAUUGUGCAUGAGUACAAAUCCUGUAAACCAAGUGGCAUACCCAUAUGUUUUAUACAGAAAGGGACUGCACUGUGCAUGCUUUGACUCGCACACUUGUGUUUGGUACCAGUACUGAUUUGUCAUUGUGUUUCCUAUCAGGCAUAGGUGCAAAAAUAAUUUAGUGACCAAUCCAAGCAAAUACUACACAACAAACAAUUUGUGGGCUGGAGUCAGUUUGCCCUUGGGAGUCAUUGGCAGGACUUUACCAGGUAGCAGAACCACGCCUGGUCCCAGUUCAUUGCCUGGGGGUUAUGCGUUUCUUAAGAAGGAAGUAGGUUCUGCUGGCCAAAGAGUACAGCUGGCAUCACCUGUAGAUUCACCGUCUACUUAUGCAUCCCAUCGAAGCCAACCCUCAACAUUUGUUCCGCCUUCCAAGAGUACAUUUGGGCUAAUGCCACGGCCACCACCCGUGCAAGCUACCUAUGGUAGGACAGUCUGGACUUCGAAAUAUGGGGGACAUAAAUAAGAAUUAAAUAUGCGAACCAUUCACAAUCUCCCAGUCCAUCAACAUAAGGAAUCUAAAACAAGAUGUAUCCAUAUCCAUCUGCUUCACCUAAAAUUCUAGUGGAAGAGGACAUGGCAGCAGAUUGACCUCCGUGUGUAACAUACUUGUACCUUUUACACCAGUCACUUUUGUGAAUUAGUUUUCAAGUAACGGUGUGUGCUGAAGACAGCAUACAGUAUAAUGCUGCAUUCAGCGUUUGUGUCAAUAUAACUGUUCUAAUCAGUAUUGUUAUAAUAUGUUUUUCAUUUUUGUGCAAUAGAGCCCACCCCUAACCAACACGUCAUCAGCAAGCGCAUAAAGGCUCCAUGUGUUAUUCUCCCACGUCGCUUCUUUUGUUUCGGCCUCUCAGUCUUGCGCUGGGAAGUCGAAACGGGAGCUUGGAGCCUGGAGGAUGGUCUACCCUCAGCCAGUGAUUACCUGAGGUUUCCCCCACAUCAAAAAUUUAAAAAUAUGUGAGUAGGGUUUUUUUCCUUACCUGAGUACUGAGCAGUUUGUAUUUAGUUCUGCGGUGUUGUCAGGCUGGAGAGGCUGGGCUUUUUCCCACAGCGCAGUCAUUCCUUUGGGUACAAACCAUGUCUCAGCUGCUCAUUUUCAUUACUUUUUCAAUAUUUGGGUUUAAUAAUCACUCCUUAUUAUUUUCCAUUCCUGGUUUGGCAGCCUUGUCUUGGGGGAGGUGGCCCAAAGCCACUUCCUAUCUGCGGCAUUGGGAUGCAUGUAAAUGUUCAUGUUUUUCCAGACGAUCUCGCACAGGUAGCUGUCGAGCACCCAUGGACGAGGCCUCCAGCCAAACUUAUCAUUCAAUCAGGCCCCGAGCGCCUCUCACAGUUCAUUAAGUCAGCUGCAAUUGCAAUCAAUAAAUCAUUCAUUCAUUGCGGAUUCUCCAUGCUGAAAUGUAUAAUUUGUAUAGCCAGGUUUUAAAUAUGGCUACAUUUGUAUGAAUGUUUGUUUGUUUUUUCACAACUGUUUUUGUAUAAUUUUUCUAGAAGAGUAAUUAAUUUAUUUUAAUGGAAAUGCAGAUUGCAUAUUUCAACAGCAUACUAUACCGCACAAACAAUCACUGUUUGUCAAUGUUUUAUUAGAGGGAGGAAUGUUUUUUUUAUUCAAAACUCAUUUUAUAGAGUGAAGUAGCUGAUUACAAAUCAGUAUUUAUUUAAUUUAUUUAGUGCUAAAUCAUGUGUGGGUUAAAUGUGCAUACUUUUCCAUUAUCUUACUAGAAAGCAGAGUUAAAGCAAAACAUUGCAAAAGCUAUGAUGCUUUUUUUCAUUUUUAAUGUGCAGAUAUUGCUUUAUUCAUUUAUGCUUGUCAUUCUUAUUAGUAAUCUUUCUGAUUCAGAUUUGUUUGUACUUUAAUAUAGAGUUUACAGACCACAUUUCACAAAUUGCAAUACAAACAGUUGUUGUGUUACUUUCUGGCUUUUAUGUCUCCGUUCACUAAAGUUGCUUUUCCAGAUUUACCUGUUGUUUGGACUUAAAUCCCUGCAAUAUGGUGGCAUUUUGCACACAAAUACUUGACAUGUUCAUGUUUGCUAAAUGUGGUCUGGAAUCUCUUAAAUAUGUAAUGUGUAUACCCUAGAAAUGUACAGUGCCACAGUUCAACUGAACAUUAAAACUCUUUCUGCUGUAUGUUGAGUAAAACUCUGCUAUUUGAUCAGUAACUACAGGUCCCUUGUAAGGAACUGGUUUUGUUAUUGAUUGCAACAGUUGUUUUUUUUAAGUAUUUAAGUUUGACAAAGCUGGCCUUGCAAUUUAGAAUUCAAUGUUUCACUUUUUAUAGACACCGUAUAUGCUGGCAGCAUUUGAAGACAUAUUUUUAUACUUUUUGUUUUGUUGCUGUAAAACUGGCCAUUCACACAAAGUGUAUACAAAAAUGUCCAUUCCAAAAAUACAUUCUGUUUCUAUUUGGUGAAUGCUUCAUUUGCUGUGGAAUGCCAACCAAUUACUUAGAAAUGCCGGUUAAUGAAACAUUGUUAUAUUCAGAAGUUGUUAUUUUAGUUCUGCUUCGGGAACUUGUUUGUAAUACCUUAGAGUAAUAAUGGACAUUUGCAGGAUUAUCAGUUCCUGCUGAAAAUAGUAACCAGUUAGUUUUCUAUAGCAGGGCUUUUCAAACUCGGUCCUGGGGACUCCCUGUGGCUGCUGGUUUUCAUUCCAACUGAGCUCUCAGUUAAUUAAC